AUUGAACGCUGGCGGCAGGCCUAACACAUGCAAGUCGAGCGGAUGAAGGGAGCUUGCUCCUGGAUUCAGCGGCGGACGGGUGAGUAAUGCCUAGGAAUCUGCCCGGUAGUGGGGGAUAACGUCCGGAAACGGGCGCUAAUACCGCAUACGUCCUGAGGGAGAAAGUGGGGGAUCUUCGGACCUCACGCUAUCAGAUGAGCCUAGGUCGGAUUAGCUAGUUGGUGGGGUAAAGGCUUACCAAGGCGACGAUCCGUAACUGGUCUGAGAGGAUGAUCAGUCACACUGGAACUGGGACACGGUCCAGACUCCUACGGGAGGCAGCAGUGGGGAAUAUUGGACAAUGGGCGAAAGCCUGAUCCAGCCAUGCCGCGUGUGUGAAGAAGGUCUUCGGAUUGUAAAGCACUUUAAGUUGGGAGGAAGGGCAGUAAGUUAAUACCUUGCUGUUUUGACGUUACCAACAGAAUAAGCACCGGCUAACUUCGUG
Molecule: ribosomal RNA, 484 nt
Filed under: uncultured bacterium
Lineage: Bacteria
Description: partial 16S ribosomal RNA
Rfam family: Bacterial small subunit ribosomal RNA
Source: RNAcentral